Gallus gallus (chicken) is the source of this 2824-nucleotide long non-coding RNA. The record is from Ensembl. NCBI's taxonomy places the organism in Eukaryota, Metazoa, Chordata, Aves, Galliformes, Phasianidae.
UGGGUCUCGCUGAUGUGUCUGAGUCACUCUGCGUGGGUGUAACGCUGCUCUGGUUGUUAUUAAUCUCUCUGAAGCCUCUUUGCAGUGAUUAAGGGAGCACUGUAUGAAAGCAGUCUGCUGCGUGGGCUCUCACCAAGAAAGACCCACUAAGUGGAUUUUGCCAGAUCCUUUAGCCAAACUGCUCUUUUCUUGGCAACUGCAGCGUGCAUCAACAUAAAUGUAAAGUCAAUUUCUAGUGUAUUUUUAAUGUCCUUUAUUCAUGUUUUUUGGACACGGCACAAACCACUAAAAUGAAAGCACAGUACUUAAUGUAGCCAGUCACUUUUCUGAUGUGCCAGUGUGUAUAAAUAAGCCUGAGCAGGAGACAAGAAUUCACAGUUAAAAGACAGAAAGAACAAGCAUGCAUGUUCUUACUGGUGAUUGUCUUUGAGUGAAGAAGGGAUUUCAGUGGUCCUCUUGUGAGGGACGAGCAAGGAGUGGAGCUGGACCCCCAGUUGGCAUCCAUAACAGCCCAACAAGUGGCCAGGGAUCUGCUCUGCUAAGGCAGCUUUUUUCCAAGCUGACUGCUAAGGACUGGGUUUCUGGGGAGCAGAAGAGCUGCGCUCUCACCAAGUUUGCUGUGGAGAUGAGAUCAUAUGGAAGUGGCCAGCAGAAACAUAGAAGAGAGCAUGAGAUCUACUAUGCCCAGAAGGCCUCUGAAACCUCCGAAAUUUCUUCUCUCUGUAAGGCCAGCAAGUUCAUCCUUAAGAAGGCAGAGAAGAAUGCCCAGAUGGGAGAUAUACUCAGGAACAAGAAGAUGGUUGAUGUACUGUGGACCACCUCUGAAUUCAGGACAUUCCACACACUCUAAUGACUUCUCUUUUUGAGGAAUAUUCCUAGCAUUGUGUCUGUUCACCCUGGUUAUGCUUCCUAACCGCUUUUCUUUCUGUCCUCACACACCCUUCUCCUAUCCCCUUCUCAGUAAAAUGCUGCAUAGGGAUGCAGAGCAGCUUGGCACUGGACUUUCAAUAUAUUUAAACACAAGCAAUUCACUGAGCUGGAAAAUUGUAAAUCUGCAAUUUUAUUUAAAAAAGUGGUCACACUGUUCUUUGAAGCCAUGUUUAGAGACAGCAGGAUAAUUAAUAGACCUUUGUGUGAUACAGAGGCAAAGGAUGACAAAUUUUAAUAAAAUUGGUAGGAUUUGUUUUUUAAAUUUUAAGAAGCAAAUUUAUGUGCCUAGUUUUACUUACUGUUACAAGAAGAGAAAGGAUGUUAAAAACAUCCUGUGCAGGUUAAAGCACUGUCACACAACACCUUUUUCCUCUGAACUAACAUUAAGGGGGCAACAACAGGCACUGAGGCAUUAGUAAUGUCUGCUCAGUGCGUAUGCAGUGCCUGCCCUGCACCAUGUCUAGACACCUUCCUAGCAUUUCAUGUAACAGCAUUUCAAACCAAACCAGAGAGAGACCAGAGCUGUCAUCAUAGCUCAUUCCAGUUAUUAAGCACACCUUCACUUGAUGUGCUGCUCGGAAAGUGAAGCAAGACACACAACAAAAGUAAAAGACGUUUAAAGUGGCCAACAUAAGAGAUGAGGCAAGAGCCAACCAAAGUGAAAAAUAAAGGUGAACAUUUUCAAAGGUAGGAAAGGAGACUCUCACAUAGAGGGAGAGAAUAACUGAAAUGAAACAGAACUUGUCAUCAUCCUUUUUAAGAAAUGCAACUGGACUGACGUAGCUGUACUGAAUUAUGGAUGAUGUCGUGAAUUAUGUGUGCAAAGAACCACUACACAGAUGAGAUAGCACCAGUUUGGAGGAGAAAAAGACCACAGAGCUGUAUUUCCUGGCCACAAAAAUACAGAAGAAGUGAUGAGAGAAACAACAGCUUCUUGAGAGAAAUCCAUUUGAAUUAAGGACAGGGUAUGAAUUUACAGUGGAGUACAAGGAAAACCGUGAAUUAGCGAAGGCACUUUAGGAGGAAUAUGUCUUCCAGAAUAAGCCUUGAAGACAGGUAAGCCCUGUGGGAAACAAAGGACUCUGCAGAGAAAAUGGGCAGUAGGGCAGCUGUUGAGUAGUCUCUUGGUUGCUGACAGUUGCAUUUGUUAGAUUAUUCCAAUUUCAUAAUACUUAAAUUAAGUGGUUGGCUGGGACUUGCGCCUUCAACACUCCUGGAAGGAGCUCUGCUGAUUAAAGAGAAAUGAAAUAUCAGAUGAAAACCAGACGUAUUCCACUCCUUCUGUUUUCUGCCAGCUCUGUCAUUCAGUGUCUGUAAUAUACCCAUCGUGCAGGAACUGAGUCAUGUGCCUAGGUCCCUCAUUUACAGAGCAUGUCCUGCAAACACUGAACAUAGCAGAAACGGUGUUUGACAGUGUUAUCUGUCAAGGGUAACUAUUAAUUCAAUCUCAUGAUACUUAAAGUAGAACAGAAUAUCAAUUUGUUUCGCCACUUAUGUUAAACUGCAACAUUUAGGAAUAUAGUCUGUGUAGUAAAAGAACAGCAUCUGCUGUGAGCUUGGAAAACAAAUUACUAUUGCUUGUUACCAUCUUUGCAUAAAUAUUUGGGGAAUUGGUAUUUUAUUUUUUUUAUUUUGCAAAGGAUUCUCUCUUCAAUUAGUCCCACAGCCUCUCUGGGUUCUUAUUUUCUUUGCUCUCAGCAGUUGUGCGCAGUUACAGCAAAUCAGGCCUCAUGAACCACAGGCACUUGCACACUUGUUUCCAUAGCUGGGUACAGCACUCAGUGAGAGGAUCUACUCAGGCAUAUGGCCUGCAAUAAGCUGAGCUCCAACGAGCUGGAACUUCCUGCUUUAACAGUUAUUUGGCCAUUUGUUUUCAUGCUGCAGCUCUUCGAUU